Molecule: long non-coding RNA, 3733 nt
Organism: Numida meleagris (helmeted guineafowl)
Lineage: Eukaryota; Metazoa; Chordata; Aves; Galliformes; Numididae
Exons: 8
Source: RefSeq, a predicted model, not a curated record
GAGUACGAGGCUUGGGAGAAGUCAUUCCCAGCACAGCUCUUGCCAUUUUUCUCUUCACUGUUGGAGCCUUGAAUGCUCAACGGCUCAGAGUUAACUCAGCAGCUUCAAGAGAUUCAGUAAUAUUUGUUUUUACCCAAAUCCCUCGAAGUCUGAGGGAAUGGAGACAGAAUCAGUUUGAGAUGAAAAGCCAAGAAAAGUAAAUCAUCCUUGGGUCAGGGUGAGCUCUCAUUUGAAGAGGCCACAGAUGGCAGGGAUGUUCAUGAAUCAGCAGUUUCACAGACCUCUGCCCAUUCAGGGAGUAAUGUGUGUAAACAAACAUGAAAACGACACACAGCCACAGAGCUUUCCAGAUCCUUCCUGUUCCCUCUGCGCUGUCAAGGGGGCCCUCCUCAGAGGAACUGGACAGAAGGAGAGGGCUGCUGCCCCAGGCACUGGGCUUGUCCCAGGAUGGUCAGCCUACACUUUCUGCUUUGUCUGUGUGAGAGCCAGAGACUAGAAUGAUGGCAGGAUGUCCGCUGUUCUCCCACCAGUGCAGCCAGGACCUGCUGACCAAGAUGCUCCCAAAGAGAUGCAGUGUCACUUCCAAGCUGCCCGAGUGUCAGACUGAGUGGCACUUCUACUGGAAGAUAACAUGUGGGGACAGACAGGUUAUGUGACAUGCUCCGGGUCACGUGAGCAGUGUGUGUCAGAGUGAGAAACAGCACCUGGAUCUCUCAGUUGUGAGGCUGUUGCUCUUGGCACUGCGUCAUCCUGACUGCAAACAAAACACUGGGAUUGACUUUGCCUGUGUCCUUUUUGUGCCUACAAACGUGCCCACCUGCCAGCUUCAGAGCCAGCACUCCACACCGUGUGCCCAAGGCAAGUCUGAUGCUUCCACGUGAGGUCCAAAACUGUCAGUAUCGUGACCAGAGAGACUACUAGGAAAAUUUAAAGUUUUCAGGUCAGCCCAAUGGCUGCUCUGGAAGGCAUGCUGUGGGCCAUCCAUCAAGUCUGUACCACCCCAGUUUGGUUUGGACAGGAGACAAUGCUACAGGCUAUGCUAAAACCAAAGUAAGUGACAUCCACUGCAUCCCUAACCUUGUUCAUCCAGCACAUAAUUCCAGCAUAGAAGGCAGCCAGAUUGGCCAGGUACAGUUUGACCUUAGUAAAUCCACGCUGCCUGUUCUGAGUCGCAUUCUUGUCCUUGCGUCUGGAAAUGGCUUCCAUAUGGACUUGCUCAGUAGUAUUCCCAGAGAAAACGUACUGAUACCUUAAAAAUGACAUCUAGUUCUUUGCUAAUGCUUAGGCUAAUCCCUUUCAGAGAAGCCAGUUGAUUACAUGCGUGGAGUUUGUGACACCUACAGCAUGAGCCUGAUGUGCUGGUUGAGGGAAUUUUUGGUAGGGAGUGGCUGAGCAGGUCAAAUUCAGAAGCAACCUAACCAGGACACACCUACUUCUCCUCUGUUGGGAGUCCCUUUCUUCCCAGCGUGGCCACCAGGAAUGACCUUCCUACUGUUGUUGCCAUGGGUUUUGUGUUACCAUAAGGCAGGAGUCCUAAAGGGAAGAAAUGGGAGAAGAGGAGGAACCAGACCAGCAGACAGUGGAGUAAAGUAUUGUCUGACCCUGGCACCCAGCACAGAUCUGACUAGUUUUGUAAGAGGAAGAAAUAAGGAAGAAGAAGGGGUAAGGUUAGCUGCUUGGAGAGUUGGGUGCGGGCCUGGUCAUUUCUAGAGAGCAUGAGUAUUUCAGUCAACAGGAAGGGUCAGGCACUUGCCAAAAUACACAUGAGCACAAUAGCCUAUAGCAUGUUGAAUUCACAGAAGACGGUUGAGUUUCACUAGGUAUGACUUCAGCAAAGCAUUUUUCCUGCUCCGGCCCCACAGUCUGACCUGGUGACUUUCCAACCAUUUUCUUUCUUACUUUCUAUCAUCAUACUUAUAUCUAUAACUAUUGUUGUUCAGGCCCUUGUGAGCCAAUCUGGCAUGCCCUUGCGUGGCUUGAAGCUCACUCCUUGUGGUGGAUACAGCACCUGCUCCCAGGCAACGAGACAUCUCUGAAGUCUUCUGAAUCACUCCCUUUCUAUGGAGAACUCUUGGAAGUGCUAGUAAGAACAGUGGAGGGCUGGUGGAAGUCACCGGCAUGUUCACAGCUGGAAAAGCAUGGCAGACCAGAAAUGUCCCCUGUGACUGGAACUGGAGCUGGUAAUUGCAAUUGAGGAAAGAGGCAGGAAGGUGCAGUGGUGGGAGGCAACGAGCCUGAGUGCAUGAACACUUGGGCAGGCAGCACUGGGCAUGGCUUGCUAAUUAGAAGAGAUAUACAUAAUCCUAUCAUCUUUUACUGUACCCAUAUUAAUGUGAUUGAGCACCUGAAUUUCUGCCUUAUAUGUGCAAUCUUCUUAACUGGAACAUUAGCAGACUUUCAACAGCGACGCACAGAAAAGCAAAUAGGACAUUGAUGUAGUGAUAAGCCUGCUGUGGGUCUGUGUGUGUCUCUGAUGAAGGAGACACAAUCUCAGGCAUGUGUGGCUAAAGUUUAGAUUGCUCUGCACGGCAGGCUGCGGUUUCCAGGGUCCCAAGGUAAGUGUGUGUGUACCUGCAUGCUGGAGUGCAGUCCCUCAUGUGCUAAUGAAAUCUGACUUGCUGGGUCACCCUCCUGCUUCAUUUGCAGUGACACAAUAUCAUUUAAAGUUGUUUGCUUAUUACAGAGAUAAUAUCACAAGGUGUGGUGCCCUGAUGGGAGCCUAGCAAGAAAGUAACACUCACUCACCCACCCACCUUUGGCAGAUUGUCUGAGGGUCCCUCAUUGGCUUCGUGACGGAAAGUGGUUGAUUCACCUCCACCCAGCGGUAAUUACGUGUUGCUGCCUACUGGAAGUUCCCAUGUUUGGCAUUGGACUGGUAACACAGCUGCUGCCACAGCAGGUUACUGAGACGUAGCAUGUCCCUUGGCAUGGCAGUGUGCUCACCUUGCUUCAUGACUUCAGUGCAAGUGUGGGCAGAGGAGCCCUGAUCCACCGCACGGGAGAGCUCUGGACGCUCCGACAGCGGCAGUGCCAUGUGCAAGCCAGGUUACAAUGCACAGCCAGAGAGACAGCAGCACAGACAGCCAGAUGGCAGCUGGCUUUGUACACGUGAGCACGGUCAUAUGGUCACACGCACAAGACCACAGAGCAGUCACGCUCCUCACUGUGAAACCCAAGGAGGUUUCUGAAAAACGUCGCUCUGCAGUUCCUGCUCUGACAGCAGAACGCGGCCGUGGGGCCAGCACCGACCUAAACAUCGCAGGGCAUGGACACAGCAAGUUAAUUUAAUAAAUUUCAAAUUCUGAGAGGAAUUUUUCCCAGUUCACAAACUGUUGGAUGUUAACAAAGUUGUAAAUUGGAGUCAGUGACAAGAGAGCACAGGUUCAGCAGCAGAGAUGUGAGAUCAGCUCUACAGCUGCUGGACUUGAUGAGUUACACCAGUGACGCCAGACAAGUAUUUUACAGAGUAUUUUAACAGUCUGUGCUUGUGGGGAUUGUACUAAUUUUUGGUGAAGAUACUGAAGUAAUUUACAAUAGGAAUAUUAUUUACCAGCCCUUGGAAAGCUGCAUCGUGGAGCCAUGUUCAUGUGUGCUUUGGAUGGCUUAGAAGGGGACAGGACGAAGGAGUGGAAAGAACCACAUCCUCCUCUCGAUCACAAAUCACUCAUGUUUGUACCUGAAAGACCAUAAAUGUGUCUGUUUGCAGUGUACUGGCACGCAGCCUGGGAACUUC